AAUUUUGGACAAUGGGGGAAACCCUGAUCCAGCCAUCGCGCGUGUAUGAUGACGGCCUUAGGGUUGUAACGUACUUUUGGCAGAGAAGCAAAGGGAUCCUCUAAUACGGGAUGCUGCUGACGGUAUCUUCAGCAUAAGCACCGUCUACCUACGUGCCAGCAGCCGCGGUAAUACGUAGGGUGCAAGCGUUAAUCGGAAUUACUGGGCGUAAUGCGUGUGUAGGCGGUUCGGAAAGAAAGAUGUGAAAUCCCAGGGCUCAACCUUGGAACUGCAUUUUUAACUGCCGAGCUAGAGUAUGUCAGAGGGGGGUAGAAUUCCACGUGUAGCAGUGAAAUGCGUAGAUAUGUGGAGGAAUACCGAUGGCGAAGGCAGCCCCCUGGGAUAAUACUGACGCUCAGACACGAAAGCGUGGGGAGCAGACAGG
This 424-nucleotide ribosomal RNA is filed under the name uncultured bacterium. RNAcentral's name for it is "partial 16S ribosomal RNA". It matches the Rfam family "Bacterial small subunit ribosomal RNA", at positions 360 to 776 of the family's 1533-position model. The record is from RNAcentral.